Acanthosepion pharaonis is the source of this 110-nucleotide non-coding RNA. NCBI's taxonomy places the organism in Eukaryota, Metazoa, Mollusca, Cephalopoda, Sepiida, Sepiidae. The record is from the annotation of a GenBank genome assembly.
UACAGUCAUAUCACACUGAAACACUAGUUCCCAUACGAUCAUUGAAGUUAAGCAAUAUCAAGCCUGGUCAGUACCUAGUUGGGUGACCUAUUGGGAAUACCAGACACUGU